AGAUCCUUGCUUACCUGUGGCCUUCUGAAGCUGAGGUCUGCUGCUGGUUGCCAGUGUAGUAAUGAGGAAAGUCACUGCCUUUCAUCCCAGAAUGCAAUAACUGAAUGACUCUCAACCAUGCACUCGUGAAACCUUGCUGUAACUUCUGCAUAUGAAACUCCAUUGACUCAUACUUUUAUAGUUUUCUCCUUGCUGUGAAGUUGAAAAUGGAAGAUUUGUAUUAGAAAGCUGAUGCAGAUCCGGUCCAAUCUAUCGUUCUGAUUUUUCAAACACCUGAGCCUGAAGUGGGGAAGCUUCUUCAUCUGUGUUCUUACACAACCUCUAUCAAGCAUCAGCUGGUCACAUGGGCAAGAUUUUCAAAAGUGGCCACUGAUUAUCUGUUUCCUUUAUAAUACAUGACUUUUCAGGUAGUACUGGCACUGAUUUUCUCAGUUAUAAAAUCAUAAGAAAGAGGGGCUGGAAGAAAAUUUGCAGUAGGGGACACAUAGAACUGGGACAAUCUGGAGCAAUGAAGAGGAGAGGGAAUGCAUAUAGCAGCUGGGAAAGUGGUGCGAGUGGAGAUGAAUUGGUGUCCAGUGUAAGGUGGUAUAUAGUCCCAGCACUUCUCAGAGCAUCCAACCCAUGCGCCAGCAUUUCUCUGACAAGAUUAAAUAACAAGUAAAGGUUUUCACAGUGAGAAUCCUAACUUUUCAUUUGAUUGGAUUUUAAUAAGGCAC
Molecule: long non-coding RNA, 716 nt
Filed under: Gallus gallus (chicken)
Lineage: Eukaryota; Metazoa; Chordata; Aves; Galliformes; Phasianidae
Description: lncRNA (ENSGALG00010005952.1)
Source: RNAcentral